CAGCUCAGUCAGUAAAGCAUGAGGCUCUUACUCUCAAGGUCGUGGGUUCGAGCCCCACAUAA
RNAcentral lists this transfer RNA (62 nucleotides) under Podarcis lilfordi (Lilford's wall lizard). RNAcentral's name for it is "tRNA.Lys". It matches the Rfam family "tRNA", at positions 9 to 63 of the family's 71-position model. From Rfam's summary of the family: Transfer RNA (tRNA) molecules are approximately 80 nucleotides in length. Lineage: Eukaryota; Metazoa; Chordata; Lepidosauria; Squamata; Lacertidae. The record is from RNAcentral.